CCUACGGGUGGCUGCAGUCGAGAAUCAUUCACAAUGGGCGCAACCCUGAUGGUGCGACGCCGCGUGGGGGAAUGCAGGUCUUCGGAUUGUAAACCCCUGUCAUGUGGGAGCAAAUGAAAAAGAUAGUACCACAAGAGGAAUAGACGGCUAACUCUGUGCCAGCAGCCGCGGUAAUACAGAGGUCUCAAGAGUUGUUCGGAAUCACUGGGCGUGAAGCGUGCGUAGGCUGUUUCGUAAGUCGUGUGUGAAAGGCGAGGGCUCAACCCGCGGACGGCAGAUGAUACUGCGAGACUUGAGUAAAGGAGGGGGAACCGGAAUUCGUGGUGUAGCAGUGAAAUGCGUAGAUAUCGAGAGGAACACUCGUGGCGAAGGCGGGUUCCCGGACAUUAACUGACGCUGAGGCACGAAGGCGAGGGGAGCGAAAGGGAUUAGAUACCCCUGUAGUC
RNAcentral lists this ribosomal RNA (446 nucleotides) under uncultured bacterium. Its description in RNAcentral is "partial 16S ribosomal RNA". It matches the Rfam family "Bacterial small subunit ribosomal RNA", at positions 338 to 795 of the family's 1533-position model. The record is from RNAcentral.